This 609-nucleotide long non-coding RNA is filed under the name Oryza brachyantha (malo sina). RNAcentral's name for it is "long non-coding RNA (OBRA_LNC002426)". Lineage: Eukaryota; Viridiplantae; Streptophyta; Magnoliopsida; Poales; Poaceae. The record is from RNAcentral.
UUGAACAUGAGUGCUCUCUUUUUCUGUUGCUCUCAUGCGAUUCUACGAAGAAAUGUAGUUCUGAAAUGUGGAAAUACUAAUUUGUCGAUUAUGAUUAUUCUUUCGGGAGUUGAACUGAUUUAUGCGAAAUUCAUUAAAAAAUAUUAUCUAAGGUUUUCAAAUAGGAUCCUCUGCAGUCUGCACCUGUAGUAUUAUAGAUGAUCUGAACUUAUUAAAGUGGUUUAGAUUGAAUCGGUGGGUUAUGUCCUUUCUAAUCUAAAGAAAUAUUGGGUUUGUUCAAAUAUUCUUGUUUCAGAGAGAUUUUGGUACGAAUGAUAGCAAAAUUCAUGCUAAAUGCCAGCCAAAAGGGGCACAAAGACCCAUAUGAUUUGGUUGAUUAAUCUGACAAAUUAACAGCAACACCUGAGAGAGACUCUCCUGAUCUGAAUUGAACCUAACAAACAACUAAUCAGAAAUUACAAGAAAAAAACUGAUUAGACGUCCGUGGAUCGAUGGGGUUUCAGACGGCGAAGAACUCGAGGGCGUUGCGGAGGAGGCGGCCGGCGAAGGGGUUGGGGUGGUCGGGGUACGAGCAGCCGGAGCUGAAGAGCACCCAGUGGCGGCGGCNNN